CGGGUGAGUAACACGUGGGUGAUCUGCCCUGCACUCUGGGAUAAGCCUGGGAAACUGGGUCUAAUACCGGAUAUGACCGCAUGAUGCAUGUUGUGUGGUGGAAAGCUUUUGUGGUGCAGGAUGGGCCCGCGGCCUAUCAGCUUGUUGGUGGGGUAAUGGCCUACCAAGGCGACGACGGGUAGCCGACCUGAGAGGGUGACCGGCCACACUGGGACUGAGACACGGCCCAGACUCCUACGGGAGGCAGCAGUGGGGAAUAUUGCACAAUGGGCGGAAGCCUGAUGCAGCGACGCCGCGUGAGGGAUGAAGGCCUUCGGGUUGUAAACCUCUUUCAGCAGGGACGAAGCGUGAGUGACGGUACCUGCAGAAGAAGCACCGGCUAACUACGUGCCAGCAGCCGCGGUAAUACGUAGGGUGCGAGCGUUGUCCGGAAUUACUGGGCGUAAAGAGUUCGUAGGCGGUUUGUCGCGUCGUUUGUGAAAACCCGGGGCUCAACUUCGGGCUUGCAGGCGAUACGGGCAGACUUGAGUGUUUCAGGGGAGACUGGAAUUCCUGGUGUAGCGGUGAAAUGCGCAGAUAUCAGGAGGAACACCGGUGGCGAAGGCGGGUCUCUGGGAAACAACUGACGCUGAGGAACGAAAGCGUGGGUAGCAAACAGGAUUAGAUACCCUGGUAGUCCACGCCGUAAACG
Molecule: ribosomal RNA, 691 nt
Filed under: Rhodococcus sp. PE-R2A-26
Lineage: Bacteria; Bacillati; Actinomycetota; Actinomycetes; Mycobacteriales; Nocardiaceae
Description: bacterial SSU rRNA
Rfam family: Bacterial small subunit ribosomal RNA
Source: RNAcentral